This 180-nucleotide unclassified non-coding RNA is filed under the name uncultured Xylariales. RNAcentral's name for it is "sequence contains ITS2". The record is from RNAcentral. Lineage: Eukaryota; Fungi; Ascomycota; Sordariomycetes; Xylariales.
AGUCCUCUAAGCCUAGCUUAACGUUGGGAAUCUACCGUGCGUUGGUGGUUACUACCCUGUAGCCCCUACCCUGUAGUUCCUCAAAAUCAACGGCGGGUUCGUGGUAACCUCUGAGCGUAGUAAUUUAUUCUCGCUUCUGAAGUGCCGCGGCCCUAGCCGCUAAACCCCCAAAUUUUCUUG